GGGGGUAUAGCUCAGUUGGGAGAGCGCUGCGUUCGCAUCGCAGAGGUUGGGGGUUCGAAUCCCCCUAUCUCCACCA
This 76-nucleotide transfer RNA is filed under the name Chloroflexota bacterium. Its description in RNAcentral is "Chloroflexi bacterium (cold seep metagenome) tRNA-Ala". It matches the Rfam family "tRNA". Rfam says of the family: Transfer RNA (tRNA) molecules are approximately 80 nucleotides in length. Their secondary structure includes four short double-helical elements and three loops (D, anti-codon, and T loops). Further hydrogen bonds mediate the characteristic L-shaped molecular structure. tRNAs have two regions of fundamental functional importance: the anti-codon, which is responsible for specific mRNA codon recognition, and the 3' end, to which the tRNAs corresponding amino acid is attached (by aminoacyl-tRNA synthetases). tRNAs cope with the degeneracy of the genetic code in two manners: having more than one tRNA (with a specific anti-codon) for a particular amino acid; and 'wobble' base-pairing, i.e. permitting non-standard base-pairing at the 3rd anti-codon position. RNAcentral also lists the same sequence under 1 other name. Lineage: Bacteria; Bacillati; Chloroflexota. The record is from RNAcentral.